UACGUAGGGUGCAAGCGUUAAUCGGAAUUACUGGGCGUAAAGCGUGCGCAGGCGGUUAUGCAAGACAGAUGUGAAAUCCCCGGGCUCAACCUGGGAACUGCAUUUGUGACUGUAUAGCUAGAGUACGGUAGAGGGGGAUGGAAUUCCGCGUGUAGCAGUGAAAUGCGUAGAUAUUGGGUGGAACACCGGUGGCGAAAGCGGCUCACUGGUCCGGUUCUGACGCUGAGGCGCGAAAGCGUGGGGAGCAAACAGG
Molecule: ribosomal RNA, 253 nt
Filed under: uncultured bacterium
Lineage: Bacteria
Description: partial 16S ribosomal RNA
Rfam family: Bacterial small subunit ribosomal RNA
Source: RNAcentral